AGGGAUUUGUUUGGUUAAUUCCGUUAACGAAGUAGACCACGGCCUACUAAAUAGGACAGGCUAUGGUAACAUAGUCUGGGCCUUCUUAGAGGGACAUUUCGGGUUUACCGGAAGGAAGUUCGUGGCAAUAACAGGUCUGUGAUGACCUUAGAUGUUCUGGGCCGCACGCGCGCUACACUGAUCGUUUCAACGAGUUUUCAUUCUUUGGAGUGGAGUCCUUGACCGGAAGGUCUGGGUAAUCUGAAAAGGCGAUCGUGAUGGGGCUAGAUUUUUGCAAUUCUUAAUCUCCAACGAGGAACC
Molecule: ribosomal RNA, 300 nt
Filed under: Labyrinthuloides sp.
Lineage: Eukaryota; Bigyra; Thraustochytrida; Thraustochytriidae
Description: SSU rRNA
Rfam family: Eukaryotic small subunit ribosomal RNA
Source: RNAcentral